CUGAAUGAAGCUACUAGAUUGUUCAAAGAAAUGGUUGGUAGGGAUGUUAUGCCAAAUACAGUGACCUUCACUAUUUUGGUUGAUGGGCUGUGCAAAGAAGGAAUGGUUUCAGAAGCUCAGCGUGUCUUUGAAACAAUGACUGAAAAGGGUGUAGAGCCAAAUAUUUACACUUACAAUGCUUUGAUGGAUGGGUACUGUUUACAGCGCCAAAUGAAUGAGGCCAAGAAGGUGUUUGAAAUCAUGAUUCGUGAAGGUUGUGCACCUGAUGUACAUAGUUACAACAUCUUGAUCAAUGGAUAUUGCAAAAGUAGAGGGAUGGAUGAGGCAAAAUCACUCCUUGCUGAAAUGUAUCGUAAAGCAUUGAAUCCUGAUACUGUCACCUACAGCACUCUUAUGCAAGGUCUGUGCCAAUUAGGAAGACCCAAGGAAGCUCUCAAUCUUUUCAAGGAGAUGUGUUCUUCUGGUCUGCUUCCAGAUAAGAUGACUUACUCGAUUUUGCUAGAUGGCUUCUGCAAACAUGGAUAUUUGGAUGAGGCAUUAAAACUGCUCAAGUCAAUGCAAGAGAAGAAAGUAGAACCUGAUAUCGUCCUUUGCACUAUUCUUAUUGAAGGCAUGUUUAUCGCUGGGAAGCUUGAAGUUGCGAAGGAACUAUUUUCCAAGCUUUUUGCGGAUGGAAUUAUGCCUACUAUACGGACAUACACUGUCAUGAUCAAGGGACUGCUGAAAGAGGGGCUGUCAGAUGAAGCAUACCAUUUAUUUAGAAAAAUGGAAGAUGAUGGCUUCUUGCCGGACAGUUGCUCAUAUAAUGUUAUCAUUCAAGGAUUUCUUCGAAAUCAGGACUCAUCAACUGCUAUACGACUUAUUGAUGAAAUGGUUGGCAAGAGAUUCUCGGCGGAUUCAUCUACAUUUCAGAUGUUACUGGAUCUGGAAUCUCAUGAUAAAAUCAUAAGUCGAUUUAUGCGUGGAAGCUCUCAAGGUAGAAAAAUAAAGUGACAUUUUCCUAUCAAGUGAUGUUGUAGGCUGAUGAGCCUCUUGUGAGUUCUAACGAUACUCUGUUCUUUAACUUUAAUGAUGAUCUGUAACAUCUAGGGUGACUUCCUGUGAUCUGUUUUGGCACUGUCAUGAUCAAGGGACUGCUGAAAGAAGGGCUGUCAGAUGAAGCAUACGAUUUAUUUAGAAAAAUGGAAGAUGAUGGCUUCUUGCCGGACAGUUGCUCAUAUAAUGUUAUCAUUCAAGGAUUUCUUCAAAAUCAGGACUCGUCAACUGCUAUACGACUUAUUGAUGAAAUGGUUGGCAAGAGAUUCUCGGCGGAUUCAUCUACAUUUAAGAUGUUACUGGAUCUGGAAUCUCAUGAUAAAAUCAUAAGUUGAUUUAUGCGUGGAAGCUAUCGAUAGAAAAAUGAAGUGACAUUUCCCUAUCAAGUGACGUUGAAGGCUGCUUAACCACUUGUGAGUUAUCACAAUACUCAGUUCCUUAACUCUAUUGAAUUGUUUGUAACAUCUAGGGUGACUUCUAGGGAUCUGUUUUUGGUACUAGAUCUCACCUUGCAUUGUGUAUUGACUUGAAUCUGUGUAUAAAGUACAGAGUGUACAGUAACCAGUCUUGUUUUCCUUUAUGCGAUGAAUUUGUAACUUGAAAUAAGCAUUUCAAGUUUUGAAUUUGCAACUAACAUUGUGACCUCUACUAAUCCUAGCAAAGGAAUGAUUCAAAAAAGUGAACUCGAGGGUUCUCUUCAUCUUGUUCUUUUAUCCAAGUUACAGCAGGUUUUCUUGGAGCUGAUCUGAAUGUGCUGUUGACAAGGCUGGCAGGCUAUCUGUAGAGAGAACUGGUUUGUAGAGUCUCAUCUAUCCUGAGAAUCUACAAUUUCAGAACACAUGCGGAAAUGGUGGAGGAUACCUCGGUUGCCAUCAUUUGAAAAUCUACAGUUUUAACGGUUUUCUUGAAAAGAGGUACUCUACAGAAGCAGUAACACAAGCUUAGGUUUAUUUAUGCAUUUCAAGUGGUCAUUUGCAUGGUACUCGAAUUGCUUGAUUCAGGUUUUGAUUUCCAGAGUCUGCAGACAAGUUGUCUUAAGUGGAUGGGUGCUUGUCUUUAUGGUAUACACUCGCAAAAAGUCCUGCGUGCUGCUUCUCAUUUCUCAGUCCCAAUUAAUACUUCUUGUUGCUGUACAAGGAGGCUUGUCUCUCCACCCAUCGUGUAACAAGGCUUGCUCAACUCCUUUAAGCUUUGCUGGUGUUCUAUUCUUCUUGGCUAAAUGAAGUGUUUGGACAAUAUUGACCAGGUACAUUACUACUUUGCUCGAUCAGGAUUAAACUGCAAUUCUGCAGAAAAUGAGGUGAGGGGAUUUAAGAAGGAUUCUUGCCAUUAGAACAUCUUGUCGUUCCUUUGAUUAAUGCCAAAUUGUAUGCAGCAGCUUUCGAGCCUUCAAAGAAAAUUAUAUCUUUAAUCUUGAGUUAAAUAUUAUCUUAAUCCAAAAAAUUGAACUGUGAAAUCUGAUAAAUUGUUGUAUUCCCUCAAUUUGAAGUUGCUGGUUCCCUUUUUUGAUUCUCAUCAAUUGGAUUUAAAAACAUUGAGAAGGUAAUAACCAUUCUUCAUGAACUUAAAGUUGGUAUCACAGAAAAAUUAAAACUGCAUAUUCGCAUGGAGUUUCAGCGUUAAAGCAGUUGGCAUUAUUUGAGCCAAUCCCUGAUGUAUUUGACAGGGAGCAGCACUGUCACAACCCGAAUUCCGGGUCCGUGACCGGCAACGCAAGAGCGGUGUCGAAAGGACACCUUACCUACGCUAAGCCUCAGAACGGACAUAUCAAAAGAACAAUUUAUUCAAAAAUACACAACGUCUUAUAAUCUUCAAAAAUAUCAUAUAAUUCAAAACCCGAAAAAUAGUUAUUAAAACAAAAAUAAUAAUUCAUAAUACUCAUUACAUUGUCAAAAUCCAAACUUAAUUAAACCAAGGUAACAGUAGAGCGUCUAAGAUAUCAAAUCAAAACUGAAAGGAAAGCCUCGCAAACAAUCAAGGCAUACCGACCAGAACUGAAGAAGCGGAAACACUCAACAAAGUCCGACUGCUAUUAGAAACUAAAAACCUGGAAUAAUAUUAAGAAUGAGGGUGAGUUCAACCAACUCAGUGAGGGAAUAACAUUUAAUAUACAUAUACAUAUACUUACUAAACAUAUUAUCAUAACGUAACAUAUUAUCAUAACAUAGUGGAUUACAUGUCAGAGAUCAGAUGACACCCGUAGGUGACCAGAUGACACUCGUCGGUGACCACUGUGGGAUGAUCAAUCACCACAGGCUGAUGCCUCUCUCACCAGCUAGGUAACAGAAUACUAUGUGCACACAGACUAACAACUCUCCGUUAGCAUGGAGUUACUGACAAGUCCCAUAUCAAGGCAUAAUAGAUAUUCACAAAAUCAUCAAAGAAACGUAUAUCAUAUCAAAUAGAAUUUACUUUAUCAGAUUGCGAGUGCAAAUUCAAGAAUAAAUGAGUACUCGAAAAAUAAAGCAACAUAUUAAAUAUUCAAGAAAUUUACUAGUUGUACUCAUUGUAUAAUCAAUAUACAUAUUUAUUUAUAUUAUAUGCAUAUUAAAGAUUAUUCCACUCACCUGACUCAAAAGCAAACAAAAGUCAAAAGCAGACACCGAAGAAAAUCCUAUUAAGGAUCGUUAGGAGAACCUACAAUAAAUAUAUGAAAUAUACUCAAAAGCAACUCAAAACAACACAAAUAAAAGAUUCCAAUGCAUAAAAGGAAACCAGGCUUAGUCUCCUAGGUUUAGGGACUAAAACGAUAAUUUUCCAAAACAGGGACCAAAAUGUAAUUUUACCAAAAUUUGAGGAACAAAUUGUAAAUAUAUAACCAUACUGAAAUUUGUCCACUAUUCAUCCUUAUCUUUGUCCAGAAUCUUGAAUUAUGCCCCAAGGUCCAAAAUGUGAUUUUAUCAAAAUUUUAGGGGUCAAAUCGUAAUUUGUCAAAUUGGAGGAUCAAAUUGAAAAUAUCAUAUAUUCCUAAUUAUAUUGGAAUUUUGCCCUUAAAUCAUCCUCAGUUCUGUUCAGAACCUCAAUUUAUGCCCCAGGGACCAAUCUGUAAUAUUUCCAAAGUUCGGGGACUAAACUGCAAUUUUCACAAAUUGAGGGACCAAAUUGAAUGUUCGUCAUCUUCAACCUCAAACCCAGAAUUUCAACAGAUCACCUACUGUUAUCCCCUGAUUUCUAACACAAAUUCACCAUUCAAACAAAACCAUAACUCAAAAUCAUUUUAUCUACAAUCUCUUAAAUUCAACUUAAUAAUCAAUUACCCACAAAAAUCAACCCCUAACCUUCAAAUUAAUUCAUCAAUAAACUCAAAACACAAACUUCAAAACUCUAAAAUUAAUCAAAACCGAAAUUAAACAUAUUAUACACUUCAAACCAUAAAUCUUACCUUUUAAACUUAUUUCCUCUACUUCUCUUCUCCUUCCUUUCCUUCUCUCUUUUCUUUUCUUUUCUUUUUCUUUCCCUUUCUCUCCCGUAGCUCUCUUUCUCUCAAAAUGAGAUCCCUCUUUUUUUUUUCUUCUUAUAUCUAUCAAUUAUUUGUCAAUUACCACACUACCCUUCAAUCAUUUAUACUCUCUCUUUAAGCCUCCAAGGGCUUUGUUGCCGUUUCCUAUCUUUUUAAUACAAAACAUCACAAGCACUAUUUUAGGCAUCAUAUAGCUAUAUCGUCAUCCCAGCUUAUUAUAUAAACAGAGCAUAAUUUGGGAAAUGUUGAGUGAUGAUUGAGAAGUGACUGGAUAAAACUAUUUUCCCUUGAUUUUUAAGUUUAUUUCAUAACUUCUGCUCUACAUAGAAUGUCAUGUUCUUUCUGAGGUGUUUCAGUGUUACUUUUAAAGAAAUCCUGUUAGCUGAGGGUUUUGGAGCAAGAACAGAGUAAAGUUGUUUCUUUUUUUCUUCAAAUCCAAAGACUAGAAGAAUAUUGAUCUCCUGUUCUUAGGAUUUUAAGGGCUUUUGGGUGUUUUAUUUUCUGAUUUGGCCUCAUCUAAUAAAUAUAACCAGCACUGGCCCUGCUCCAUGGAUUUGGAACUUCUUGUUUCCUACAAAAUAUUUCCCAGUUACACAUUCCACGGCAGCAUUUUUUCAAGUACUUGAGAUUGCAGUGCAAAUUACUUUCUAAAAUAGUUUUUUAUAUAAAAAUAAUUUUUUUUAAUUUUCAAUAUCAAUUUAUUAAAACUAUUAAAAAACAAUAAAAAUAAAUUAAUUAAUAUUUUCUCAAGCCAAAAAUAUUAAAAAAAACACAGCAUUGAUCCAUAUAUAUAUGCAUUUUGACAGUUUGCUAUGGAAUGUUUCUGUACUUGAAGCAUAUAAUUAGAGGAUAUAAUUUUUAAACUCAACUUGUUCAAACGAGGUUACAAGUUGAAUCUCAUGAAACUUGAUUAAUCCAAGUGGAUUUUUUAUGAUUUAGUUUAUCCAGUCAUAUAUGAUAAAAACUCAAUUGAAUCAUUGCUAAAAAAUUAUUUUUAAAAAAACUAUAUUAUUUUAAUAAAAAUGAAUCAUCCGAGUUAACUUAGUAGGUAGAUGACUUUCUUCGGCCAUCUGUUUCUCUGCUAGAGCAAGGAAGCUAGCCAGUGAAGCAGAGAUUCUUUUGAUGAAAAUCUGUGACCAAUUCACCAUUAUGCAUGUAUUAUAUCUACAAUUUCUGCUUAAUCAAGCAUGGAAUCUGUUGAAACAGCAGAGCAUUGACAAACAUCAAAUUUGUAUAAUACAAUGUCCAACCAUUGAUAGAAAUCACAAUAGCUAAAAAUCAACAUCAAAAGAGUAUAAAGCAUCAAGUAAACCACAUGGAUUAUUCAAAACCACAGCUUGAUUCAUCAUUUUUAUUGCUCCUGCUAUUAUCUUGAGAGGGAGGGGAGGGGGGUUGUGGUGGCGGUGGAAAAGACGGUGGUUUCAGCCAUUUGUGGUGGUAGAGAAGACAUGACAACGAACUUGGAGAGCGAGUGGGAGUGAAUACUGGUUGGGUAGCGUCUCUAUUAGACGAGGAUCAUUCUAGGCGAUAUUAAAUAAUAAAUUAAUAAAAAAAAGAUUGGGAUGACAUUAGGAUUUAGAACGAGGGAUCCAUGAUGGAGAUAAAUUAAUUAUUAACAUUUUUUUAUUUAAGAGUCGAUUUAAAUGUAAAUGUAAUUAUUUUUAAAAAUAUAUUUGUAUUUAAAAUUGUAUUAAAAUAAUAGUUUUUUUUUUUGAAAUUAUUUUUAAUAUUAACACUUUAAGACAACUUAAAAAUACAAAAAUAUUUUUUAAAUAACCUUUUUUUUUUUUCCAACUUUAGAUUUAAAACUUAAUUAUAAACAUGUUCUUAAUUGAAUAUAAAAACAAUCGUAUUUUUUAGAUUGUUUAAAAAAGGAUUAAAUUUAUGUUGAAAUCUAUGUUAAUUUAAGAAAUUUUUAAUUUUAAAAAAUAAUUUGAAUAUUUUUAAAAGAUUAGUUAAGAGUUAUUUAAUAUUUAUAAUUAACUUACAUUUUUUAUUUUUUGUUUAUAUAAGAGAUGGAGUUUUAAUCCUUGUCCAAAUAUUCUUUCUUUUAAAUUGUUUAUUUAUUUUAGGUGGUCAUAUUGAAGAAGAAUGCGAGUGAAAGUCAACAAGUGUUAUAGAGUCUUGGGCUUCAAAUAAAAAGUAACUGGUUCAGGCAAAGCUGAACCCAGGACACCCAGAACUGAGGAAGAGUCACGGGGUUGAGAGGAAAAAGCCUCUAUCUUCGGCUACGAAGGUGGAGAGGAACAGUCAGAGAGACAGCAUCUUUUUAACCUAACAAUGAUGGUGUUCAUGCGGAAAAGCGCUUUUAGAGCUUCUGCUUCUCAGCUUCAACAACGACAAAUGGAAAUGGGUAUCUUUCCUUCUUUCUUAUUCUUCAAUCAUCACCACAUCUCCACUUCUGCUUGUACUAAGAAACCUUCUCUGCCUCACAAAAAUGGCGGGUUUGUUAGUAAUAACAGCACUAACAUUAGUAUUGAUGAUGCUUUGGCUUCAUUCUAUCGCAUGGUCCGCGUGAAUCCUCGGCCAUCUGUUGUGGAAUUUGGCAAAUUCAUAGGGUCCUUCGCUAAAAAGAAACAGUAUUCAACUGUUGUCUCUUUGUGCAAUCAAAUGGAUUUGUUUGGAGUGACCCACAAUGUUUAUUCUCUAAGUGCAUUGAUUAACUGCCUUUGUCGCUUGAACCAUGUUGAUUUUGCUGUCUCUAUCAUGGGAAAGAUGGUCAAACUGGGUAUUCAACCUAAUGUUAUCACAUUCAAUACACUACUCAAUGGGCUUUGUAUGGAGGGAAAGAUUAAAGAGGCAGAAGAGUUGUUUAAUGAGAUGGUACGGCAAGGGCAUGAGCCCGAUGUAAUUAGCUAUAAUACUAUAAUCAAUGGUUUGUGCAAAACUGGCAACACCAGUAUGGCUGUUCACGUGUUCAAGAAGAUGGAACAACAUGGGUGUAAACCAGAUGUGGUGACAUAUAGUACAAUCAUAGACAGCCUUUGCAAAGAUAGGCUAGUUAAUGAUGCCAUGAAAUUCUUAUCUGAAAUGGUGGAGAGGGGCAUUCCAUCAAAUGUUUUUACUUACAGCUCCAUAGUCCAUGGUUUUUGCAAUUUAGGACAACUGAAUGAAGCUACUAGAUUGUUCAAAGAAAUGGUUGGUAGGGAUGUUAUGCCAAAUACAGUGACCUUCACUAUUUUGGUUGAUGGGCUGUGCAAAGAAGGAAUGGUUUCAGAAGCUCAGCGUGUCUUUGAAACAAUGAUUGAAAAAGGUGUAGAGCCAAAUAUUUACACUUACAAUGCUUUGAUGGAUGGGUACUGUUUACAGCGCCAAAUGAAUGAGGCCAAGAAGGUGUUUGAAAUCAUGAUUCGCGAAGG
This 7854-nucleotide long non-coding RNA is filed under the name Populus tremula. RNAcentral's name for it is "long non-coding RNA (PTRE_LNC002412)". The record is from RNAcentral. Lineage: Eukaryota; Viridiplantae; Streptophyta; Magnoliopsida; Malpighiales; Salicaceae.